ACAUGUUUUUGCACACGGUUCUGCAUAUGGUGGGCGUUGUAUCAGGAUGUGGAUGAGUGUGGCUUUCACUGUGUACCAGAGAGCAUUUCCUCAGGUAACUGGGUGGGUUUCUAUGUAGGCAGAACUGACCAUAAACUGUGGCACAGGUAAAUGAAACUGAGUCAUUGAACUGUUCCAGGGACCACAGUAAAGGCCAAGGUC
This 201-nucleotide long non-coding RNA is filed under the name Homo sapiens (human). Its description in RNAcentral is "HSALNT0256977". The record is from RNAcentral. Lineage: Eukaryota; Metazoa; Chordata; Mammalia; Primates; Hominidae.